AGUGAACGCUGGCGGUAGGCCUAACACAUGCAAGUCGAACGGCAGCACAGUAAGAGCUUGCUCUUACGGGUGGCGAGUGGCGGACGGGUGAGGAAUACAUCGGAAUCUACUUUUUCGUGGGGGAUCACGUAGGGAAACUUACGCUAAUACCGCAUACGCCCUACGGGUGAAAGCAGUGGAUCUUCGGACCUUGCGCGAUUGAAUGAGCCGAUGUCGGAUUAGCUAGUUGGCGGGGUAAAGGCCCACCAAGUCGACGAUCCGUAGCUGGUCUGAGAGGAUGAUCGGCCACACUGGAACUGAGACACGGUCAAGACUCCUACGGGAGGCAGCAGUGGGGAAUAUGGGACAAUGGGCGCAAGCCUGAUCCAGCCAUACCGCGUGGGUGAAGAAGGCCUUCGGGUUGUAAAGCCCUUUUGUUGGGAAAGAAAAGCAGCAGGUUAAGACCAAGCUGUUGUGACGGUACCCAAAGAAUAAGCACCGGCUAACUUCGUG
This 492-nucleotide ribosomal RNA is filed under the name uncultured bacterium. Its description in RNAcentral is "partial 16S ribosomal RNA". It matches the Rfam family "Bacterial small subunit ribosomal RNA", at positions 29 to 507 of the family's 1533-position model. The record is from RNAcentral.